This 926-nucleotide ribosomal RNA is filed under the name Cytobacillus oceanisediminis. RNAcentral's name for it is "bacterial SSU rRNA". It matches the Rfam family "Bacterial small subunit ribosomal RNA", at positions 41 to 949 of the family's 1533-position model. Lineage: Bacteria; Bacillati; Bacillota; Bacilli; Caryophanales; Bacillaceae. The record is from RNAcentral.
GGUGCGCUGCUAUAAUGCAGUCGAGCGGACAGAUGGGAGCUUGCUCCCUGAAGUCAGCGGCGGACGGGUGAGUAACACGUGGGCAACCUGCCUGUAAGACUGGGAUAACUCCGGGAAACCGGGGCUAAUACCGGAUAAUUCUUUCCCUCACAUGAGGGAAAGCUGAAAGAUGGUUUCGGCUAUCACUUACAGAUGGGCCCGCGGCGCAUUAGCUAGUUGGUGAGGUAACGGCUCACCAAGGCAACGAUGCGUAGCCGACCUGAGAGGGUGAUCGGCCACACUGGGACUGAGACACGGCCCAGACUCCUACGGGAGGCAGCAGUAGGGAAUCUUCCGCAAUGGACGAAAGUCUGACGGAGCAACGCCGCGUGAGUGAUGAAGGUUUUCGGAUCGUAAAACUCUGUUGUUAGGGAAGAACAAGUACCGGAGUAACUGCCGGUACCUUGACGGUACCUAACCAGAAAGCCACGGCUAACUACGUGCCAGCAGCCGCGGUAAUACGUAGGUGGCAAGCGUUGUCCGGAAUUAUUGGGCGUAAAGCGCGCGCAGGCGGUUCCUUAAGUCUGAUGUGAAAGCCCCCGGCUCAACCGGGGAGGGUCAUUGGAAACUGGGGAACUUGAGUGCAGAAGAGAAGAGUGGAAUUCCACGUGUAGCGGUGAAAUGCGUAGAGAUGUGGAGGAACACCAGUGGCGAAGGCGACUCUUUGGUCUGUAACUGACGCUGAGGCGCGAAAGCGUGGGGAGCAAACAGGAUUAGAUACCCUGGUAGUCCACGCCGUAAACGAUGAGUGCUAAGUGUUAGAGGGUUUCCGCCCUUUAGUGCUGCAGCAAACGCAUUAAGCACUCCGCCUGGGGAGUACGGCCGCAAGGCUGAAACUCAAAGGAAUUGACGGGGGCCCGCACAAGCGGGGGGAGCAUGGGGGUUAA